GGUUGCUAGACAAAAGUAAUAUGUGCACAUAUGCACAUAUGAUAUUUAUGACACUGGUUAUGUUUCACAUUAUGGAUAAUAAAUAGUUGUUAUGUCAUUUCUUGUUUACAUACAUGAGAU
This is a long non-coding RNA of Haliotis rubra (blacklip abalone), 120 nucleotides long. RefSeq lists it as uncharacterized. The transcript is spliced from 3 exons. Lineage: Eukaryota; Metazoa; Mollusca; Gastropoda; Lepetellida; Haliotidae. The record is from RefSeq and is a predicted model, not a curated record.